CUGGCUCAGGAUGAACGCUAGCUACAGGCUUAACACAUGCAAGUCGAGGGGCAGCAUUGGAGUAGCAAUACUUCAGAUGGCGACCGGCGCACGGGUGAGUAACACGUAUCCAACCUGCCGCUUACUCGGGGAUAGCCUUUCGAAAGAAAGAUUAAUACCCGAUGGUAUAAAGAGUUCGCAUGUUCUCUUUAUUAAAGAAUUUCGGUAAGCGAUGGGGAUGCGUUCCAUUAGAUAGUUGGCGGGGUAACGGCCCACCAAGUCUACGAUGGAUAGGGGUUCUGAGAGGAAGGUCCCCCACAUUGGAACUGAGACACGGUCCAAACUCCUACGGGAGGCAGCAGUGGGGAAUAUUGGUCAAUGGACGAGAGUCUGAACCAGCCAAAAGUAGCGUGAAGGAUGACUGCCCUAUGGGUUGUAAACUUCUUUUAUAAGGGAAUAAAGUGAGGGACGUGUCCCUUUUUGUAUGUACCUUAUGAAUAAGGAUCGGCUAACUCCGUGCCAGCCGCCGC
This 509-nucleotide ribosomal RNA is filed under the name uncultured bacterium. RNAcentral describes it as "bacterial SSU rRNA". It matches the Rfam family "Bacterial small subunit ribosomal RNA", at positions 19 to 518 of the family's 1533-position model. The record is from RNAcentral.